CCUUCUUCGUCUGACGCCUCUGUUUCCUUCAUCUCAAAUCAUAAAAGAAUCGGUAUAUCUUGUUAGGUUUUUGAGUUGAAAGAAUCGGUAUCUAUUUUGAUAUUGAGGAUUGCUACUCUUCUCCCACCGCUUCACCACCGCAUCUUCCUCCGGCCCUGCAACUCCUUCCUACUACAGCAAACCUUCGAAGAGCAAUUAACACCACUCUGCUUCGUCUAUGUGGCUAUCUUACACUUCUUCUUUGUCUCUCUUUUCAUCGGAGUCUCCGGAUCUAUCUUAUCUUUGCAAUCAGUUUCUCCAGUGGAUCUUCUUCCGUUUACCGAUGCGGCGGAUCUAAAGACACUUCACGAGUGUCUGGUUCAUGGUUAUCGUCGUGCCGCUUUGAGAAGCACUUGGUUUACUUCUGAUCCUGAUGCUCUUCUAAGGUUGGAAUAAGUGACUGGAUUAGCUUUUAGAUUUUUCAUUGGACGUUCAAAGGAUGCAAAGAAGAUGGCUGAGCUUGAGAAAGAGAUAAAAUAACAUAGAGAUUUUGUGCUUCUUGAUGAUGUUGAGGAAGAAUAUCUACGACAUCCUUUAUAAAAUGUUGGCUUUCUUCAAAGGAGCUUUUAAACUCUUUGAAGAUUAUUAUUAUGUCAAAGCCGACGAUGACAUUUACUUGAGACCAGAUCGACUAGGGACGCUUCUUGCCACGGAAAGCUUUCAUCUCUGAAGCGUUUUAUAUCAGGGGGUUGAGAGUAGGAGGGAUCUUCAACGCCUCUGCUUCAUCUCUGAAGCGUUUUGUAUAAACUUCUUCCGCUCCUUCACUCGAUUCUUGAUCACGGGUCAUCUUGGUUUUCUUUGUGGAGGAGAUCGAGUUAGCUGAUGCAAUUGACGAUAAAGAUGCUGAUUUUGCGUACUACAAGAAUGUUUUCAGGGAAGAUUGCAGAGAGAAAUCCAGUUUUUCAGAAAAAGGGUGAUGAGACAAGUUUGGUCAAGCUCUGGACUGCAUCACACCUCUUGGAAGAGAAACAGGUUUCUGUGUUUUACUGGCCUGCCAAAGACAAAUGAAUCUGAACCGGCAGUGAGAACAUUUAUUUUACUUGAAACAUGAUCUAAUAAGUACUUGAAUCGUGGAUACGACACUGGAGAGAAAGAACCAGGAAGAUGUAUAUAUACAUCAAUGAGAAAUGCGUUGGUGGUGAUUCUGGACGUGAAGUCUACACCUUAAGUCACAACUUGUUGUUGGCUCAUGCUGAAGCUGUGGAAGAGUUCAGGAAAUGUGCAAAGUGCAAAGAUGGGAAGAUUGGUAUAGUCCAUAGUCCAAUGUGGUUUGAGCCUUACAAGAAGUCUAGCUCAGAUGAGAUAGUGAAGAGAGCUAUGGAUUUCACUUUAGCAUGAGAGACAGCAGCAAUUGGCUGAGGUACAGAGGAGUCUUUUGCAGACACAAGCGCUAACCAAAGCUCAGACUUUUAUUUAUCAUGUACAUGUGACUUCUGCCAAUUUGACAGACAACACCCGACCUUCACCGUGUCUGGAGUGAACGAAAUUCCUAACAAGGAGAUUUCUACUCUCAAUGGCAAAAAAAAUGUACAAGUAGAGUAUGGGGAAUCAUCAACUUCCACUGCUGCCACCUAUACCUGAACUAAUGAAGCGAGUAAUGUUUUCACAUGAAAACAACGUGAACCGAACCCGUUUCUUUAUAUUACUCUGUUGCUAUGCAUUGCUUCUUCAAGACUUUUCAAUAUUUUUCCAAUUUCAUGUUUUUUUAAUAGUAACAAAAGGGUUCACGUAAUGGCAAU
This is a long non-coding RNA of Raphanus sativus (radish), 1778 nucleotides long. RefSeq lists it as uncharacterized. The transcript has 9 exons. The record is from RefSeq and is a predicted model, not a curated record. Lineage: Eukaryota; Viridiplantae; Streptophyta; Magnoliopsida; Brassicales; Brassicaceae.